AAAUGGAUAGUCAUGCUUGCAUGAAGUACAAGUCAUACAUAGAAAAUUUGCAUUAUCAAAAGAGAAUUGAAAUACUUGCUCUUUAAAUAAAAGAGAAGAAUAAGAAUACUUGCCUCUGACUGAAAACAUGUGACAAUGCAACUCGGUCACACUACUCGAGGUUUCUAGACUUGCCUCAACUGCUAACUCUACAAUGACUACAUUCUAAUUGGACUGUCUUGCGGCACAAUCUGGCCUUAUUGAAUUAUUUCAGACUUGGCUUGCAACACUAUUCGCUGGCUUCUGAAAGUCAUUGUUGACCACGUCUCAGCCGGCUAUAUAUAACAGCAAACAAUACUUUAGUUGAAGAACAAUCCCAACCGCCGCCAAAUCGCUGAAUCGAAAUUAUAUUACUACCCUUCGCGAUAUAAACAUUUAAUAUAUACAAUUAAUAUAUAAAUAAUAUAUACACAUAGUGUCACAUAGUUAAACACGUAAUCACAUCAGCACGUACCAAUUAAUUUACAUGCUUUAAUAUUUAAAUAUAAAUAGUCAAAUAAAUCAUGUAUAUGAUCUUAUAUCUGAUUAUAUACACAAUAUUAAUAUCCCCUGGAUAUAAUACAACUCCAAUUUAUCACAACAGAAAUCAAGUCAUCUGAAUUACAAGUCCCAUUGUAAUUCAAUCACAUCUCAAAACAGCUCAACACUUGAUUAAAAUAAAAUAAAAUAAUAAGAUAAUAUAAAUUUUGGACAACAUGUCUUUUAAAAUGGAGCAACCUCAAAAUCAACAACAAAGAAAUCUUUGCUCCAAAAUAAUAUAAAUAUCCUCCAAAAUGUCAAAUCAUAAAUGGGCAUGCUCUUCACAAUCAACAAUAAAGUCUCAGUUCAGCACUCUAUCUUCUAGUAUUUUCAAAAUUCCAUAAUUUAACAUCUUCACAUGAAACCUUUUCCAUUUUAACCUCUGACAUAGUAUCUUGCUAUCCUCAAAAUUUCAACUUAAACCGAUUAGUACAGCUAGGUCAAAUUCUCGCUCAAAGAUGGUACUCAAAUUUAUCUCAGCAAGGCAAAACAGGAUUUUUAUCAUCAUCACAGCCACGCUCUAAAAUUCACUGUAAAUCGUAGGUUUACUAUUUUGGCAUGAAACCACCUCUGGGAUCUUCUAUACUCAGUACACUAUCAUCCCUCAAAAUUUCAACUCCAACUAAAGUGUUUAGCUAGGUGAAACAUUGCUUCAAAGUUCAGUGUUCAGUAAAUUCGUAGGUUAUUGACAACCCAUACUAAAACUGCCAUAACUUCUAGCUCGUUACUCCGAUUGACGCAAAAUCAGCGCCCAAAUAAACUAGAAAUCAUACACUACAACUUCCAUUGAGCAGUCGAUCACCCAAUCACAAUAAAACUGCUCCGAAACACUGCCCAAAAACAGGACAGCAAACUGAAUUUAAAAGUUUAUACCUUCUAUCGUUGAUAUUGCAACCUCACACGACUAUCCCCCACCUUUACUACAACUACCAGACCUGUAAUUUGGCUUCUCUUCUCCCACUUUUGUUGUUACCCACACACAACAGCCAUAUAACCUCCAUCUCGGACCAUUGCUCAGCAGCCAGCGGCUCCUCCUCCGCCAUCUAACAUCAACAAUCACUACUGCAUAUGACUUCCACACACACAACUUUGUUUCCCUCCUGUGCUACUGUUCUCACAACCUUCAACAUCCUUCUCUACUACUCCAUCUACCAAACGCAGCCACACCACAUACUUGCUCCACUACUACCUGUCUCAAUGUCUAACAGCUAUUUCUAUGAAUAACAACCUUGCUUUCUUCCUCCGAUUCAAACCCAACCACAUAUCAAUUCUCUCGCGAGCCGUCGUCCUCUCCAACUCCAAUGAGACCUCACCACCGCCCUGUUCAAACCAGCCUCCUUCAACUACAACUCCAUACCCAGCUAUAACAUAUGCACCCACAUACAAAACUCGACAACCA
This 1957-nucleotide long non-coding RNA is filed under the name Daucus carota (carrot). RNAcentral describes it as "long non-coding RNA (DCAR_LNC007159)". Lineage: Eukaryota; Viridiplantae; Streptophyta; Magnoliopsida; Apiales; Apiaceae. The record is from RNAcentral.